This 130-nucleotide ribosomal RNA is filed under the name Drosophila tanythrix. Its description in RNAcentral is "partial 28S ribosomal RNA". The record is from RNAcentral. Lineage: Eukaryota; Metazoa; Arthropoda; Insecta; Diptera; Drosophilidae.
UUAAGAAGGACUUAAAUCGUUAAUUUCUCAUACUAGAAUAUUGAUGUUCCGUACACUGCAUCUCACAUUUGCCAUAUAGACAAAGUGACUUAGUGCUGAACUGAUUUCUUUUCGCUCGCCGCUAACGGGU